This 174-nucleotide unclassified non-coding RNA is filed under the name uncultured Sebacinaceae. RNAcentral's name for it is "sequence contains ITS1". Lineage: Eukaryota; Fungi; Basidiomycota; Agaricomycetes; Sebacinales; Sebacinaceae. The record is from RNAcentral.
AUGAUUGCGAAUGGUUACCUUUGGUGCUGGCUCUCGCGAGCAAGUGCACAUUGGUGGCUUUCAUCCACUACUACCCUUGUGAACCUUUGGCCUCUUGCUCGCUUCGGCUGGCAGAGGAUUUUUACAUAUACUCGCAUGUAAUGAAAACUAUUGUUGUGCGCAAGCACUAAUAUA